GAGCGGAGGUGGGAAGCGAGGCUUGAGGAAGAGGGGCAGCCGGCAGCAGGGGCUGAUGUCUCUGAGAAGAGAAGCCCAUCCGUGAAAGGCCGAAACUUCAAAUAUUCAACUUGCAUACCUGGGGAUCCUUGUGUUCUUUUGCUAGCAUUUGUUUUAAGUAUGCAGGGCCCACUCCCACAUUCUCUGAACCCUGCCUGUCCUGGACGCCAGGAGCUUUGGUCUCCAUCACUGGGAGAGGUGUCUCCAGGAGGUCUGCCCGUGGCGUACGUGUGCUGUCUGCCCAGCACCACCAGUUCUGGGAGCAGCACGGCCUGUUUCCUGGAAGCUACAUCCACGUGCAUUGCAUCCAUACGACUCCUGUGUGCUUUGUUCCCAGGAUUGGUUAUGGGCUUGGGCCUGACUCAAGACUGCGUGACUGCAGGGCUCAGCCUGACUGUUACUAAAGUGUGCCCCAUUCCCUGAACGUGUAGACUUGGGCAGUGAAGGAGGGGGAGCCCUCUCUCUUUUUGACUGUGGCUAGGCAAUAAAAGUCUAGGAAGCUCUCAGCAGCCAGGGAGGAAGGCAGGCGCUGGAGCGAUAGGGGCCAGUGGGGCCAGGAUGAGGGAGAAUUUCCUACAGCGCUGGUGUUCCAGUUCUGAUGAGCCUCAGGCCCACAGGCAUCAUGGCCCCCCACGCAGCUACCCUGGCUUCUGUGGCAAAGGACGAAGAUGAACCCUGGCAUGAUUUCAUUGUUUUAUUAAAUUUCAUUGUCUCCUUUUCACUUAUCUUAUUCAAGUUGGGUUUCUUUCACUUGCUAAUAAAAGUCUGAGCAGAUAGAUUACUAAAAAUGAUUUUGUUUCACCGACUUUAACUCAUUCCAGCAUUAUUUACUGAGGCACCGCUGUGUGCUAGGUGGCAUUCCAGGUGCUGCGUAUUUAUCCAGGAGCCAGCCAGAAGCCCCACCCUGUGGAGUCUGUGUCUUCACCUACAGGAAAUUGCUCAUCCCGUCAUGGAUUCACAGACACUUACUGAAUUCCUAAUAAAUAAACUCUUCAUUCAGUAGCGUUAAAUAAGUUUCUUGAAGCUAGACUGUUGAUAUUUUGAGAGAUAUUGUCCAUACUCCUGGUCACCUCUGAUUUAAGGGCAUGCAGGACCUGAGCAUUUUACCAACCUACUUAGUGCAUUAGCCAGGGUUCUCUAGAGGGACAGAACUCAUAGGAUCUAUGUAUAUAUGAAAAGGGAGUUUAUUAAGGGGAAUUGACUUACAUCAAGAGUGGUUUGCCAGGGGCUCUCGGGCCUUUGGCCACAGACUGAAGGCUGCGCUGUCGGCUUCCCGACUUUUGAGGUUUUGGGACUCCUCGGACUGAGCCACCACUGGCUUCCUUGCUCCUCGACUUGGAGGCAGACUUUCAUGGGACUUCACCUUGUGAUCCUGUGAGUCCGUUCUCCUUAAUAAACUCCCUUUCAUGUACACAUAUAUCCUAUUAGUUCUGAGGAAGAGUGGAAGUUGCACUUAACUGAGAACGUGUUUAGUCAUUUCCCAUUAUGCAAAACACUGCGGGGAUUUCUCCAGCCCUGCUAUUAUGUGGGAGAACAGGUCUCAGGUAAAAGUUCAAAAUUAUCGAAGUGAAGAAAGUAAUUCACUAAAGGGUCUGAUGAUCAAGCUUGUCAGCUGCUAAUAAGACAGCUGAGAAGAAGACUGAGCUGAAUGUUGCACGUGGAAAUGCCAAAGUCUUCACUGAUGUCAAUAAAAAUAAAAAAAAAUAAAAAAAUAAAAAUAAAAAUAAAAAAAAAUAAAAAAAUAAAAAAAAAAAACUGGUUUUGAUGCACAGGUGAGACUAAUAUCUCUAAUUGUCAAUUGUCCAUAAUUAUUGAUAAAUUAGCUUUCCCUCCGCCUUUUAAAGUCUGGAGUUUGGGCUGCUAUGCCAUUCUUAUCUAGUGCCAAUAUUUACAACACAAAGAAAUUUAGCAUGUUUUAAACAAAUAACACUACUUAUAAGUAGAAUUCAAGUCUUUGUCUAAUCCAAUGUACAAAAAAAAUUGUAUUUAUGUCCUGAGUUUCACAAUUUUUCAUCUUAAACUAUUUCAGUUUCUCAAUUUUUAAUCACUUGUUCUGGCCACAGAACCAGCCAACAAUUCACGCGCUGGACAUGUUAUUUGAAUGUAUGGUUUUCUGUUGUGUUUGGAUGGGACUUACUUUCUAUUAUUAGUCUAUUAUUUCUAAGUGAAGGACAUGCUAAAAAUGCCUCCAAAACCCAUCGUAUAAUUCAUCCUCCUGGUGUCUUACUUUGUAGUCUUAGGAUUAAAGGGAGAUCAUUCUGAAACAUCGAAAUUUGCAUGUUAAAGGGGACUGCCUGAAAGGAGGAAGCGCUUUUCUCAGGAAACCAUAAUUACACAACAGAAUAAGAAAGUGGUGAUCGCAGUGGCCUGCGCCUAAACACCGCCUUCUUCAGGAUCGUAAAUUCCUAAGAAUCCAGAGCCGAAAGAGACCCUGCAGAUAGAAAAUCAAGUUCAAGCCUGUCGUUUAAACGAUGGGAACUUGAUGCACACACACAAGGAAAUUAACCGACUUUCAUAGGUUAACUUUGCCCAGUGAUGACUGAGAAUACCUAAAAUAAAUGACUUUCCAUGAGUCCUUGUAUGAAGAUUCUGGGUGACAGGGGAAAUGAAUUAGAAAUGGGUAAAUAUACAUGCACCCCAGUUACAUAGCAGCAAAAUCAGAGCUUGGAAUUCCUGCCUCUUUCCUAAUGCUGUGACUGACCUCCACUGCAAUGCUGAGUUGCACUAAUUAGUUCUCAUCCAGAUUCGCCGUCACGUUUUCUAAAGUCCCAUUCCUAAAUAUACUCUUCUAGUCACCUCAGAUGUGAAGAUUUAAGAAUAGACACUUUGUGUGAGCCGAGGUUGUGCCACUGCACUCCAGCCUGGGCGACAGAGCCAGACUCCAUCUCAAAAAAACAAAAAAGAAUAGACACUUUGUAUGUCUUUAUUAAUCACAAUUUGGGGAAUAUGCAACGCAUAUAGAAUGAAGAGUAUCCGCAAAUGGUUAAAUGCCACAAGUACACUUUAAAAAUAAAAUCAGAACCCGGGUCAGGCAUGGUGGCUCAUGCCUGUAAUCCCAGCACUUUGAGAGGCCAAGGCAGGUGGAUCACCUGAGGUCAGGAGUUUGAGACCAGCCUGACCAACACGGUGAAACCCCAUCUCGACUAAAAAAUACAAAAAUUAGCAGGCGUGGUGGUGGGUGCCUGUAAUCCCAGCUACUCGGGAGGCUGAGGCAGGAGAAUCACUUGAACCCAGGAGGCGGAGGUUGCAGUGAGCCAAGAUCAUGCCAUUGCACUCCAGCCUGGGCAACAGAGCAAGAUUCUGCCUCAAAAAAAAAAAAAAAAAAAUCAGAACACACUGGAGGACGUUAGUAAACCCAGCUGUCAGAAAAUGUUUAAAUAUAGGGCAAGUAAGCAAAGUCCUCAUCUAUCAAUCUCUGUUUUCAGACUCUUCAUCUUAGUGCACUCUGGCUGCCAAAACAAAAUAGCAUAAACUGGACUGCAUAUAAAUAGCAUAAAUAAAUUUCUCACGAUGUGAGAGGCUGGGAAGUCCAACACACCAGCGAUUUCAUGUUCCAGUUCAUAAACAGCAUCUUCCCACUGCAUCCCCACAUGGUGGAAGGUGCAGAGCAGCUCUCUGGGGCCUCUUUCAUGAGGCCAUUCAUCCCAUUCAUGAGGGCUCCACCCUCCUGAUCUAAUCCCCUUCCAACCCAUGUCCUACUACCAUCCCUUUGAGGGUUAGGAUUUUAACAUGAAUUUAGGGGCAAUACAGGUAUUUGGACCAUAGCAGAUAUUUACUACAAUAAUAGCCUUUUAACCACAUCUUCAUAUAACACAAUAGAUCAAAUGAUCAAAAAAUUAGUGUUAUUCAUAUAAAAAUAUACAUACAUUCUAAUCAUGAAUAAGCAAAAAAAAAAAAAAAAAAAAAGCUGAAAUUCUGUCAUAAAACAACAGGAAUGUAUUCCCCCACAGUUCUGGAGGCCCGAGGUCUGAGGUCAGGUGUAAGGGCCGCCUUCCCUCUGAAGGCUCUGAGGGAGGACCUGUCCUUCCUCCCCAGCUCCAGGCAGUACCUGCGUUCCUUCGUUAGUGACAGCCUCGCUCCCACCUCUGCCUCUGUCAGCGCGUGGUGUCCUAAGCUAUGUGUGUGUAUGUGCCACAUUUCCCCCUUUGUGUGAAGACACCAGCCAUUGCCUUGGGGCCCAUCCAAAUCCAGGAUGACCUCAUCUUGGUUAAUUACACCUAUUUCCAAAUAAGGUAACAUUCAGAGGUUCCAGGUGAACAUGGAUUUUUGGAGGCCACCUUUCAGCCCAGCACAUGAACAUUCUACAAAAUAACUGGCCAGUAGCCCUCAAAAACCUGAAGAUCUUAAAAAAGAAAGAUUCAGACACUGUCACAAAUAAGAACAGGGGUCCCCAAUCCCUGGUCCGUGGCCUGUUAGAAAUCAGGCCACACAGCAAGAGUUGAGUGGCAGGCCAAGGAGCAUUACCACCUGAGCUCUGCCUCCCAUCAGAUCAGUGGCAGCAUUCGAUUCUCAUAGGAGGCCAGACCCUAUUGUGAGGGACCUAGGUCAUGCACUCCUUAUGAGAACCUAAUGCCUGAUGAUCUGAGGUGGAACAGUUUCAUCCUGGAAACAUCCCCCAGACCCCCAUCCAUGGAAAAAUUGUCUUCCACAAAACCUGUCCCUGGUGCCAAAAUGGUUGGGGACCACUGGAUUAGAAGACAGAAAAAGACAAGGCAACUCAUUCACCUAAUCCUAAGCCGGAUGUUGCCCCAGAAAAGGCCAUUAGUAGGACAACUGAAGGGAUCUGAGUAAGGUCUGUGGAGGGCUUCAUAGCAGGUGCCAAAGUGAGUUCCUUGGUUUCCAUGUUGUACAACAGUUAGGUAUGUCCUUCAUAUUAGAAAGCUGGGUCACCAGUAUACCAGAAAUCUCUGUACUAUUUUCACAGCUUUUCUGUAUGUCCAAAAUAUAUUUUAAACAAAAUGUUUAAACAUUAGUAUGACUAAAGAAGAUGGACACUGCACAGCUAAGACGUUUUAAUGUAAUAGAAUGUAAAGAACCUUGCAUUCCACAAUUUGAAAGCACACAUUCUUUCCCUGCACACUAAGAACGGUUAUAAAAACCACCUGCAAAGCAGACCACAAAGCAAUUCUCAACAAAUACCCAAGAAUUGGGAUCAAAUGAAGCACAUCCACCAUGAGGCUAUAAAAUUAGAAAAUUAUGACAAAAAGAUAACUACAGCCUGCCCUAUGUACAUGUGGACAUCACACAUAUAAACACAUACUUUUACACACACACAAAAUCAGGGCCAAAGAAAAAGCCAAAAAGAAAAUGAUUAUUUUAAGUGAGCAGAAAUGAAAUCCAUGUGGGAUAAUGCAAGGAUGGAAAGAGACUCGUAGUCAUCAAUACAUAUGUCAGGAAAAAAGAUGGGCACUGAGCUUCAAAAGAAGAAGCUAAGUGAGCAAUCAGUAAAAUUAGUAAUGAAUAAAGAAGCCCCAGAGAACAAGGGAGACAGAAGCUACAGUGUUCACUGCAGCAGACUCUUUAGCAUUCAAAAGUGGAAAAACCCUGACUGUCCAUAGCAGAGGAAGACAGACGCUAGGGUUUAUCCACGUAAUAGCAUACACGACAGCUGUCAUGAUGGGUGAGCUGGAGCUACCUGUGCAUAGCAGCUACAUCUCAAAAGCAAAAUGUGAAACAAAAAGCAAGUGACAUAAAGGCACAUAUAGGCUAAUGCAAUUUAUGUGUUUUAAACACACAGAAUACCUGGAAAGCACAAAGUAUGGGAUAUUUUUAGAAGCAAACAAGUAUCAUACAAGUGCAAAAGCUUGCCUGAUCAUGGUACUCACUUACUUCAGAAGAGUGAUUAUUUCUCAGAGGAGAGAAUGAGAGCAGGAAUUAAUGAGCUUCAGCUUUUUCAGUGUUGCUAUUUAUUAAAAAAAGAAAGGAAGGAAAGAAAGGAA
This 5978-nucleotide long non-coding RNA is filed under the name Homo sapiens (human). RNAcentral describes it as "HSALNT0253495". Lineage: Eukaryota; Metazoa; Chordata; Mammalia; Primates; Hominidae. The record is from RNAcentral.